RNAcentral lists this ribosomal RNA (229 nucleotides) under uncultured bacterium. RNAcentral's name for it is "partial 16S ribosomal RNA". It matches the Rfam family "Bacterial small subunit ribosomal RNA", at positions 568 to 796 of the family's 1533-position model. The record is from RNAcentral.
UACGUAGGCGGGAAAUUAAGUCAGUAGUGAAAUCCCACAGCUUAACUGUGGAACUGUUAUUGAUACUGGUUUUCUUGAAUAUAGUUGAGGUAGGCGGAAUGUGUAAUGUAGCGGUGAAAUGCUUGGAUAUUACACAGAACACCGAUUGCGAAGGCAGCUUACUAAGCUAUGAUUGACGCUGAGGUACGAAAGCGUGGGGAGCGAACAGGAUUAGAUACCCUGGUAGUCC